AGAAACGUGACGUCCAUGACCGGAUAUAACAGGGGAAGGAUCAGUGCCAAGGUUACAACAAUUCUCGCUCUGUGGGCGGCGGUAGUCUGGGCCGACUGCCAGAUGCGGAUCGGCUGGGUACGACUUUGUUUCCAGGAUCCGGGUGUCAUAAAACAUUCGCAAUGCGCCUCCAAUCAAAGGCAGACGGAGAGGCAUCGAUCCACAGCGAGGAGACACAAAGAGCUCGCCAGGGCCAAUCAAUGAGUGGCCACUCCCUCCACCAGCGUCUCUUCCCACUGUGUGACGCCCGACCCCUGCUCGCUUCCCCUCGUGUAUGGUCGGGAAACAGAGCAUCAAGCAGUAUCAUCCCUCAUCGCCUCGGGCAACUCUCAGCCACUCCUCCCCCACACCGCUACCUUCCAUCACUCCGUCAUACAGGCCAUAAUCGUAACUUGAAGAAAAAAAGUACAUG
Portunus trituberculatus (swimming crab) is the source of this 451-nucleotide long non-coding RNA. RefSeq lists it as uncharacterized. The record is from RefSeq and is a predicted model, not a curated record. Lineage: Eukaryota; Metazoa; Arthropoda; Malacostraca; Decapoda; Portunidae. The transcript has 4 exons.